CCUACGGGGGGCUGCAGUGAGGAAUAUUGGUCAAUGGACGAGAGUCUGAACCAGCCAAGUAGCGUGAAGGAUGACUGCCCUAUGGGUUGUAAACUUCGUUUAUAAAGGAAUAAAACGAGGCACGUGUGCCUUUUUGCAUGUACGUUAUGAAGAAGGAUCGGCUAACUCCGUGCCAGCAGCCGCGGUAAUACGGAGGAUCCGAGCGUUAUCCGGAUUUAUUGGGUUUAAAGGGAGCGUAGAUGGGUUGUUAAGUCAGUUGUGAAAGUUUGCGGCUCAACCGUAAAAUUGCCAUUGUUACUGGCAGUCUUGCGUACAGUUGAGGUAGGCGGACUUCGUGUUGUCGCGGU
RNAcentral lists this ribosomal RNA (347 nucleotides) under uncultured bacterium. RNAcentral's name for it is "partial 16S ribosomal RNA". It matches the Rfam family "Bacterial small subunit ribosomal RNA", at positions 338 to 682 of the family's 1533-position model. The record is from RNAcentral.